UAUAAUGUUUGACUCUUCGUCUUAUUUAAAAAAAUUUUACGAUCAAUAUUUUUAUUUUUAUUAGAUGAUAAAUCAUGAAUAGUACUUUACGUGUAACUAAUUUUUUUUAUUUCUUAAAGUUUUUUCAAAUAAGGCAGAAGAUCAAAUGCUGGACAUG
This 157-nucleotide microRNA precursor is filed under the name Oryza brachyantha (malo sina). RNAcentral's name for it is "MIR812 microRNA precursor family". It matches the Rfam family "MIR812 microRNA precursor family", at positions 27 to 183 of the family's 205-position model. Lineage: Eukaryota; Viridiplantae; Streptophyta; Magnoliopsida; Poales; Poaceae. The record is from Rfam by way of RNAcentral.